GUGCUGUUCAUCAGCACUGUUCAUAAAGGAGAGGUGCUGUUCAUAAGAGAGGUGGAAUGACGGUUAGUGUGAUGUAAAGAGAAAAUCCCCGAGUUUGUUCGGGAAGCCUCGAUUGAUAAAAACCCGCCAACAGUAGAAGAGGAAGGGUUCAGGUUUUUUCGCUCUCUCGCUUCUCCUCCCUCUCAACUUGACAGUGGUGCAGUCGUGCAGGUUUUUAGCGCAUCGAAGAAGUAGUAGAUCGGAGAUUGAACCCAGAAGAAGAAACCGUUACGGUUUCUGAGAUGCUUCUCAUCUUGGCUACCAGAAAAGGCCACCAUAGAAGCACCCAAAGCUUCAGUUACAGAAAGCCACCCAUUACUCUUCCAAAGAUCUUUGCUUUCAACUCUUUCCUCAAUCGGAAGCCAGUUUGCUUGGAUCAAGAAGCUUCGACCAGCCAAGAAGGUAACUUUUUUCAUCUGGGUUGUGGAAGACAUUUGAGACUUGGAUUUAUAUAUGCUCCAUUUAUAUAUCAUUGAAGGUAGACAGAACUCUCCAGAAACCUUGAUAUGUAGGUUUUGAUGGCAGUUAAUAGCAUCGAUCAGGCUCUGAGAUAGAGAGGUAGGGCUGAAAACGAGUAGGAGAGGUUGCUGGGGUGGGAAAGAGAAGAGGAGGGGUUCAAGAUUGUGAUGGACUUAGAGACGAUACACCGGGGCCUUGUCUCUUCCUAAUAAUCAGGGGAUGACGAAGAGGAUGAAGAGCAGCAAUAUCAUUGUUCAGAUAGCCAAAAGUUUGAGGAGCAAAUUUUGUCUUCUUGGUGUCUCUUUUGGGAUACGGACUAUGAUCCGGCUUUAAAUCAUAGUCCAUUCUCAACCCGAUAGGCGACCAUUCUCUAUAAGGUACCAGCUCUGGAGCACAAUGUAAAGAUACAAGAAUGUACUAGCAGCGGCUUUUUAUCUGCGAAACUGGUAUGUGCUAGCAGCAGCCUUUCAUCUAACAAGCAAAGGAAGCUCUGGGCACCCGGAAAGUUAAUUUGAAACUUCGAAUACUCAACCCAUAGAUCACAAACCACCGGCAAUCCUCGGAGCUCCCGCCCCUCCAAGCAAAGCAAGCUUAGUAUCAAUCUAGCAGUCACCGGCACCUUGGUUUGGACACCCACCCUCCCAUCCCGAUAGAAUGUCACAGGUAGCUUCCUCAGCCCUCGGUGCUCGCUUCAACCCCACUUCACCUCUCGGCGGUGAUCAAGUUCGUAACAGCUCCUGCCGGUGGCUCAUCACAGCGGCACCUCCUGGUGGCAUCAUUCUUCCUUCCAACGACAAUCCCGGCAAUCUCACCGAUAGCCUCCAUUAGCUUUUGAAAUUGAUAGGGCCUAAUGUCUCCUCCCCAUGGGAGAAGAAUGAGAGCCUAAUAUGGCUGGGCAGACCCAGCAUCACUCAACCGAGAUCGCUCUGUUGCUCUUCAAGCUCGCUGCUUCCGGCGCUUGUAAUCGUAUGAUGCUGUAGUUUGAAUAUCCCAACACAGGCAGCCAAAUAGAUAAGUCCUUUAUGAUGAAUAUGAAUCGCAUCCUACAGUUUAGCAAUUACAAUAUCAACAUGAAGCAAGUUUCUAUCUUGUUCUAGUUGAGUAGAAAAUGAAAACAAGUGUUACAGUUCAAGAGAGGAAAUUAGGAGAUUUUGAAGUAAGGUUUCAGUUUUACUUUAUAUAUUCAAAUCUUCAUGUUUGUUAGGAAUUGAAGCUUAGAUAAUGAGCUCUGUAAUGGUAGUGGCUGUGGUCACUUGGAAUAAGAAGCCAUAAGACCACCUUGUGCCAAAAAUCAUGUAGUUGUUCUGCCUACUGAAUCAAAGUUGAACCAUCUCUCCUUUUCUUUGUUAAAGGAAAACGAAAAUGCCACGUCAAAUUUCUAUCAGGAAGAGGUGAAACCGCCCAAAUGAAAUAAUAAUGUUGCAGCUCUACAUUGGUUAAGAAGACUGCCGUGUGGAGCUCUUAAACAAGUAGCACCUUCUGGUUGCAUGACACUCCAGGAUGCAAAACUUAGACAUCACUGUGCAGUUGAACUAGUAAAGCAAAUUUGCAUAGAACUUUCACGUUCGCAUAUGUCAUGGCGUUUGAACUAUGUUUUGAAUUCAGAAAUCCUGUACAUAGCCACUCUUAAUGGGAUAACUGAAAUCAUUAGUACACUCCUUGGGUUUUUCCCUGAUCUAAUAUGGGCUCAGCUCAGCAACAACCAGUAUUUCUUACUUCCUUUUGCUAUUGAGCUUCGACAUGAAAAUAUUUUCCGUCUUGUGUGUGACCACACUGCACGCAGUAAAAUAAUGGCAUCUACAUUACUAGAAUCUGGCACCAUCUUGCAUUUGGCAGCAAAGUUGGCACCUCCGGCCCAACUUACAUCCGUAUGUGGUGCAGCUCUACAAAUGCAAAGAGAAUUGCCGUGGUUCAAGUUCAUCCUUAUUAUAAGCAGAGUAAGAAUGGAGAUGAAAAGACUGCUAAAGAACUAUUAAAGUUGGCCGAGAAAGGGGAGAAGUGGCUGAAUGAUACUUCGAAUGCAUGCAUGGUUGUUGCAACUCUAAUUGCUACGGUGGUUUUUGCUGCUGCUUUUACAGUUCCUGGUGGUAGCGACGAAGCAGAUGGAAACUCAAAUUUCUUAAUGUAGAAGCCAUUCAUAUUCAUGGUGUUUUUGGUUUCAGAUGCUGCAGUAGCUCUAUUUUCUUCUCUAACUUCAGUAUUGAUGUUUUUAUCCAUCCUCUUGGUAUGCUGAAGAAGAUUUCAUUGACUCACUGCCAAAGAGGUUGAUCAUAGGUUUGGCUUCUCUCUUCUGUGCUAUAGCUGCCACAAUGGUGGCCUUCGGUGCAACCAUUUCGAUUGUGCUCAGCAAGAGGUUCAGUUGGGUUUCUAUUCCGAUCACCUUGCUUGCCUCUUUUCCGGUGACUCUAUUUGCUCUGCUGCAGCUUCCCUUGUUUAUUCAAAAAGGAGUUGAACAAAGAAAAGAUUUGCCCUUCUGUUAUGUUGUGGUUUCAUUAAUUAUGAGUAAUUUUGUGCAGCGUUUAAAUUGACCUGUAUAGGCGUAUAGCAUGCUAUAUGUACAUAAAAUUAACUGAUCAAUCCAUAAAUGUAACUGUAUGGUAUUAUUCAUAUCAGAAAUUUAACGAUC
This is a long non-coding RNA of Rosa chinensis, 3124 nucleotides long. RefSeq lists it as uncharacterized. NCBI's taxonomy places the organism in Eukaryota, Viridiplantae, Streptophyta, Magnoliopsida, Rosales, Rosaceae. The transcript has 7 exons. The record is from RefSeq and is a predicted model, not a curated record.